This 694-nucleotide ribosomal RNA is filed under the name uncultured bacterium. RNAcentral describes it as "bacterial SSU rRNA". It matches the Rfam family "Bacterial small subunit ribosomal RNA", at positions 32 to 715 of the family's 1533-position model. The record is from RNAcentral.
AACGCUAGCUACAGGCUUAACACAUGCAAGUCGAGGGGCAGCACAGAGAUAGCUUGCUAUCUUGGGUGGCGACCGGCGCACGGGUGAGUAACGCGUAUCCAACCUGCCCAUUACUCGGGGAUAGCCUUGCGAAAGUAAGAUUAAUACCCGAUGUUGUUUGAUUGCCGCAUGACGGUCAAACCAAAGAUUUAUUGGUAAUGGAUGGGGAUGCGUGACAUUAGGUAGUUGGUGAGGUAACGGCUCACCAAGCCUACGAUGUCUAGGGGUUCUGAGAGGAAGGUCCCCCACACUGGAACUGAGACACGGUCCAGACUCCUACGGGAGGCAGCAGUGAGGAAUAUUGGUCAAUGGACGAGAGUCUGAACCAGCCAAGUAGCGUGCAGGAUGACGGCCCUCUGGGUUGUAAACUGCUUUUAGUUGGGAAUAAAAAGAGGGACGUGUCCCUAAUUGUAUGUACCAUCAGAAAAAGGACCGGCUAAUUCCGUGCCAGCAGCCGCGGUAAUACGGAGGAUGCGAGCGUUAUCCGGAUUUAUUGGGUUUAAAGGGAGCGUAGACGGGAUGUUAAGUCAGCUGUGAAAGUUUGGGGCUCAACCUUAAAAUUGCAGUUGAUACUGGCGUCCUUGAGUGCGGUUGAGGUAUGUGGAAUUCGUGGUGUAGCGGUGAAAUGCUUAGAUAUCACGAAGAACUCCGAUUG